This 492-nucleotide ribosomal RNA is filed under the name uncultured bacterium. RNAcentral describes it as "partial 16S ribosomal RNA". It matches the Rfam family "Bacterial small subunit ribosomal RNA", at positions 29 to 507 of the family's 1533-position model. The record is from RNAcentral.
AGUGAACGCUGGCGGUAGGCCUAACACAUGCAAGUCGAACGGCAGCACAGUAAGAGCUUGCUCUUACGGGUGGCGAGUGGCGGACGGGUGAGGAAUACAUCGGAAUCUACUUUUUCGUGGGGGAUAACGUAGGGAAACUUACGCUAAUACCGCAUACGACCUACGGGUGAAAGCAGGGGAUCUUCGGACCUUGCGCGAUUGAAUGAGCCGAUGUCGGAUUAGCUAGUUGGCGGGGUAAAGGCCCACCAAGGCGAUGAUCCGUAGCUGGUCUGAGAGGAUGAUCAGCCACACUGGAACUGAGACACGGUCCAGACUCCUACGGGAGGCAGCAGUGGGGAAUAUUGGACAAUGGGCGCAAGCCUGAUCCAGCCAUACCGCGUGGGUGAAGAAGGCCUUCGGGUUGUAAAGCCCUUUUGUUGGAAAAGAAAAGCAGCAGGUUAAUACCCCGCUGUUCUGACGGUACCCAAAGAAUAAGCACCGGCUAACUUCGUG